UGAGGAAUAUUGGACAAUGGGCGCAAGCCUGAUCCAGCAAUGCCGCGUGCAGGAUGAAGGCCUUCGGGUUGUAAACUGCUUUUGUACGGAGCGAAAAGGUCUGCCCUAAUACGGUGGGCUCAUGACGGUACCGUAAGAAUAAGCACCGGCUAACUACGUGCCAGCAGCCGCGGUAAUACGUAGGGUGCGAGCGUUAAUCGGAAUUACUGGGCGUAAAGCGUGCGCAGGCGGUUAUAUAGGACAGAUGUGAAAUCCCCGGGCUCAACCUGGGACCUGCAUUUGUGACUGUAUAGCUAGAGUACGGUAGAGGGUGAUGGAAUUCCGCGUGUAGCAGUGAAAUGCGCAGAUAUGCGGAGGAACACCGAUGGCGAAGGCAAUCCCCUGGACCUGUACUGACGCUCAUGCACGAAAGCGUGGGGAGCAAACA
RNAcentral lists this ribosomal RNA (427 nucleotides) under uncultured bacterium. RNAcentral's name for it is "bacterial SSU rRNA". It matches the Rfam family "Bacterial small subunit ribosomal RNA", at positions 355 to 774 of the family's 1533-position model. The record is from RNAcentral.